UUUGUGUUUCCUCGGAAUAUCCUCGGAAAUUCCUCGGGAUAUUCCGAGGAUUUCAUUUUCCGUCGGAAUGUCCGUGAGAAUACCGUUGUUUUCUUGUAGUGUAAAUAACUUUAUCCUAAACCGAUAUAAACCGGUGCAUUAUAAAUGAUAGACGCCAAGCUCCAAGGCUGCUUUGAGAACCAUGGGGAAAGCCACGGUGUUGACAAUACUCUCUGCUUGCAAGCUCACCAUUUUCUCGUCGACUUCUUGGUCUUCUUUGGUUAAAACCGGCUUAGGGUAAGUGGGUAAGGGCUCUUGAAGAUGGUUUGACAUUAUUGUUGCUCGUAUAAGAUUGAAUGGAAAGUUUGUUUGAGAGUGUGGUUUGUAACGUUCAUGAUUAUUGUCAUUUUAUAGAGAACACAAUCAGAAGCCAAAGCCAAGUGUUUCGACUUUUGAUUUGAUGACCAGCUGGCUCCACCGGACAAUGAGGUAUGGCCAAUAUUUUUUUAUUUUUUUUGUUGGAAUCCUCGUCAUUCGUGACGAUAAUAUCUACAAUCUCAUUUGUCUAAUAAAGUAACGUCAAGAUUUGAUGUUAAUAAUUUUCACAAAAAAACAAAGAUAUAAUGUUAAGAAUUAUUAGAUAAAUUUUAGCAAAAAAAAAAGUUAUUAGAUAAUGGUAGGAAGCAUGGGGUGGAGUGUGGACCAUCACCCCAAGCAAGAGGAGGAUGGAAUACUAGGUAAUUUAAUAACAAAAGGCGGAUUUUGCAGAGCCACAUUAAACAUUGGCCUUGAUUUUCAAAUUUUUUUAAAAAAAUUUGCAGAAAGAUAUGCCCUCGAAAAGGUUUCUUUUAUUAAAGUUUUUAAAGAAAUGUUUCUAGUCCCCAAAUUUAAGAUCCGCCCAUAUUCAUAACAUUAACCAAACUUUUUAUACCUCAAAUUUACUCCAUCCGUUUCAUCCGUUUCAUAAUGUAAAAUAUUUUAGAGAAGUUUUGAUGUUUUAAAAUAUAAGAUGUUUUGAUAUUCUUAAAAUAUUUUAACUUUACUAAAAAUUGAUUAACCAAUAACAUUUUACUACAUUAUUUAUGAUUAGUUCUUUUUAUUUAUAUUAUCAAUAAUAUUAUUUUCUAGAAUAAUAAGUUUUUUAAUUGUUGUGCAUUCAAUCAAAAAAUGAAGGGAGUAUUCAAAGAAAGAGGAAACAAAAUUGAAUAAAUUUUAAAACUAAUGUCUUAAUUUUUUUUUUUUGAAAAUGACCAAAAAUCAUAAAUGAUUUAAAGAUUAACAAUAAAUAUACGUUAGAACUUUGAAUUUUUUACUUCCCAACACACUUUUUGAGUUUCGUAUUUCACGUUAAGACACUUUGCACUUGAGACAACCUUAUUUACUAGUCAAAGACAUUGAUGCCCUUAUAAUAAAGAAAACCAAACCAAACUUUUAUUAGCCUAACCCAACCAUACCAACUCUACCCUAUACCAAGUUCGAAACCCUAAAUUCUCAUCUUUCCUCAUUUUGAAUCACACACUUUUUUGAGAGAGAGAAAAAAACUUUGUGCCACGGAAAUUAAGAACCCUAGUUCCUCUAUCAUUGGCCUCAUCCUCUAAAUCUUCUUUCUUGAUUUUUCGUCACAAACCUCCAUCUCACGCACCGUCUGAAUCUCACACUCGAGUAGAGCACACAAUCAUUUUUUCCCGACAUGCGAGGAAAUAACAAACCGGACCACCGCCUCCCACAAAUCCUUUUUUCAGAAGCUUUUCCAGAGGCAAAAAAUUGAGAUCCGUUUUUAACACUAAAUUGUUUAGAUCUUCAUUUUGCCAUUUAUUUCGAGUUUUAUAAGUCUCUGUACACAACCUGAGAUUUAUGUAAUCGUUUUCAUUUCUUAGCAGGACAAAAAGUUUCGAACAACCGCCUCUCAGUGAGGCUGUUUGCUGGUACCCAUGUGGGCGUCUUAACAUUUACUCUAAGCCUGACCUCUUACCUCUCGUGACACUGAGGAGUUUGAGACUAUCAAAGCAUCUUGUUUCGGGAAAAUGUUUGAUUUGAUGAGCAACAUGUGGACGGGAGAGUUGUGGGCUGGUGACCUGUGGAUGGGUGAGUUGUAGUCGGGUGACAUGUGGUCGGGUGAGCUGUGGACUGGUGAACUAUUGUAGCGUGAGCUGUGUAUGGACGAGCUGUGGUCAGGUGAGUUGUGGACGGGUAAGCCAUGGAGGAGCGAGCUGGGGAUGUAAUGUUGUGUGGCUGACCACAAGGGAGUGUUGUGUGGACGGAGAGUCAACUUCCACCCAUGUAGCUUUCGUACUCCCUGCUUACUACGCUCCACCCAUGCAACAAUCAGAAGUUUCAGUGAAGUUUCAAAAACUAUUUUGUGUUCUAUGUUCCAUAUGUUUUCUCUUUUUAACUCGGCGUUUCUAUAGCGCGUAAGACGCCCAUGUAAUUUUUUCCAGAAAGUAGGCUCUUCAUUGUUUUUGAGAUCAAACAAUCUGUCUGUAAUGUUAAUGCUAAGGUUUAUGUUUUAAAAAAAAAUGUUGUGUA
This is a long non-coding RNA of Brassica napus (rape), 2505 nucleotides long. RefSeq lists it as uncharacterized. The record is from RefSeq and is a predicted model, not a curated record. The transcript has 2 exons. NCBI's taxonomy places the organism in Eukaryota, Viridiplantae, Streptophyta, Magnoliopsida, Brassicales, Brassicaceae.